GAUGAACGCUGACAGAAUGCUUAACACAUGCAAGUCGACUCGAGUCUUCGGACUUGGGUGGCGCACGGGUGAGUAACGCGUAAAGAACUUGCCUCUUAGACCGGGACAACAUCUGGAAACGGAUGCUAAUACCGGAUAUUAUGGUUUUUUCGCAUGGAGGAAUCAUGAAAGCUGGAUGCGCUAAGAGAGAGCUUUGCGUCCCAUUAGCUAGUUGGUGAGGUAACGGCCCACCAAGGCAAUGAUGGGUAGCCGGCCUGAGAGGGUGAACGGCCACAAGGGGACUGAGACACGGCCCUUACUCCUACGGGAGGCAGCAGUGGGGAAUAUUGGACAAUGGACCGCAAGUCUGAUCCAGCAAUUCUGUGUGCACGAUGACGUUUUUCGGAAUGUAAAGUGCUUUCAGUCGGGAAGAAGUCAGUGACGGUACCGACAGAAGAAGCGACGGCUAAAUACGUGCCAGCAGCCGCGGUAAUACGUAGGUCCCGAGCGUUGUCCGGAUUUAUUGGGCGUAAAGCGAGCGCAGGCGGUUAGAUAAGUCUGAAGUUAAAGGCUGUGGCUUAACCAUAGUACGCUUUGGAAACUGUUUAACUUGAGUGCAAGAGGGGAGAGUGGAAUUCCAUGUGUAGCGGUGAAAUGCGUAGAUAUAUGGAGGAACACCGGUGGCGAAAGCGGCUCUCUGGCUUGUAACUGACGCUGAGGCUCGAAAGCGUGGGGAGCAAACAGG
Molecule: ribosomal RNA, 724 nt
Filed under: uncultured Campylobacter sp.
Lineage: Bacteria; Pseudomonadati; Campylobacterota; Epsilonproteobacteria; Campylobacterales; Campylobacteraceae
Description: bacterial SSU rRNA
Rfam family: Bacterial small subunit ribosomal RNA
Source: RNAcentral